This 305-nucleotide ribosomal RNA is filed under the name uncultured bacterium. Its description in RNAcentral is "bacterial SSU rRNA". It matches the Rfam family "Bacterial small subunit ribosomal RNA", at positions 337 to 634 of the family's 1533-position model. The record is from RNAcentral.
GCCUACGGGACGCAGCAGUAGGGAAUUUUCGUCAAUGGGCGCAAGCCUGAACGAGCGAUGCCGCGUGAGUGAAGAAGGCCUUCGGGUCGUAAAGCUCUGUUGCGGGGGAAAAAAGGCAGCAUCAGGAAAUGGGUGCUGACUGAUGGUGCCCCGCCAGAAAGUCACGGCUAACUACGUGCCAGCAGCCGCGGUAAUACGUAGGUGGCGAGCGUUAUCCGGAAUGAUUGGGCGUAAAGGGGGCGCAGGCGGUCCUGCAAGGCUGGAGUGAAACGCAUGAGCUCAACUUAGGGCUGGCUUUGGAAACU